GGGGGGGGGGGGGGGGGGGGGGGGGGGGGGGGGGGGGGGGGGGGGGGGGGGGGGGGGGGGGGGUGCGCGGGGGGCGAACGGGGGGGGCAGCCGGUGGUGACCGGCCCGUGACUGUGGCAGAACUCGAGGAACCUGGGCCUACUGGCGGAUGGGAGCACCGGGUGCCUGGUGGGGCUGGGGACGUUUGUUCGGUUGGGGAUGGACUCGCGGCUGAUCAGCUUGUGGGUGGGGUGGUGUCUUACCAAGGCUUUGGCGGGUGGCCGGCCUGAGAGGGUGACCGGCCACAUUGGGACUGAGAUACGGCCCAGACUCCUACGGGAGGCAGCAGUGGGGAAUAUUGCACAAUGGGCGGAAGCCUGAUGCAGCAACGCCGCGUGCGGGAUGACGGCCUUCGGGUUGUAAACCGCUUUCGCCUGUGACGAAGCGUGAGUGACGGUAAUGGGUAAAGAAGCACCGGCUAACUACGUG
Molecule: ribosomal RNA, 468 nt
Filed under: uncultured bacterium
Lineage: Bacteria
Description: partial 16S ribosomal RNA
Rfam family: Bacterial small subunit ribosomal RNA (bases 58-468)
Source: RNAcentral